RNAcentral lists this ribosomal RNA (229 nucleotides) under uncultured bacterium. RNAcentral describes it as "partial 16S ribosomal RNA". It matches the Rfam family "Bacterial small subunit ribosomal RNA", at positions 109 to 339 of the family's 1533-position model. The record is from RNAcentral.
AGUAACACAUUGGUAACCUACCUUCGAGUCGAGAAUAGCCCAGGGAAACCUGGAUUAAUACUCGAUAGUCUCUGAAGACUUAAUGUUUUCGGAGUAAAGAUUUAUUGCUCGAAGAGGGGCCUAUGGCCUAUCAGCUAGUUGGUGAGGUAAAAGCUCACCAAGGCUAUGACGGGUACCGGGCGUGAGAGCGUGACCCGGCUCACUGGGACUGAGAUACGGCCCAGACUCC